Molecule: transfer RNA, 73 nt
Filed under: Hofstenia miamia
Lineage: Eukaryota; Metazoa; Xenacoelomorpha; Acoela; Hofsteniidae
Description: tRNA-Val for anticodon AAC
Rfam family: tRNA
About the family: Transfer RNA (tRNA) molecules are approximately 80 nucleotides in length. Their secondary structure includes four short double-helical elements and three loops (D, anti-codon, and T loops). Further hydrogen bonds mediate the characteristic L-shaped molecular structure. tRNAs have two regions of fundamental functional importance: the anti-codon, which is responsible for specific mRNA codon recognition, and the 3' end, to which the tRNAs corresponding amino acid is attached (by aminoacyl-tRNA synthetases). tRNAs cope with the degeneracy of the genetic code in two manners: having more than one tRNA (with a specific anti-codon) for a particular amino acid; and 'wobble' base-pairing, i.e. permitting non-standard base-pairing at the 3rd anti-codon position.
Source: RNAcentral
GGCACCAUGGUGUAGUGGUUAUCACAUCUGCCUAACACGCAGAAUGUCCCCAGUUCAAGCCUGGGUGGUGUCA